CACUGCUCUUGCUUUUGUGCGCACGACAGGAUCGGGGAGGUUUCGGGCCGACGGCCGACAGACAUCUGGGAAAGGCGGACGGGACGCCGACCUGCAUUUGGACACGUAGUAGAUGUUAAGCAACAGACAUGAAAUCACAAAGGAAACCAAGUCGAAGUCUGAUGACAUCAGCAAUCGUCUCAUCGCUGCCUGGUGAAGUGGUCGGCCAGUGUGACGAGAGCGAGGACCGGUGUGCGGACCUAAGACAACAAAACAUCAGUGAGUCAAAAGUUAAGUCAACCUGUUGUGCAGCAAAUGAUCUUUGACACGAAACCUACCAGCGAGGAAGACGGGCGACUUGUUUUCUGGGCCUUAGAGCACUCGCACGGCUGCGUGACCGGGAAGCUGACAAGUGUUCCUCUGCAACUCUGGAAGAAAUGUGGAAAAACAAAAAACUGGAUCAAAGAACACCUAAUUGUGGAAUGAAGACAUUUCAAAGCACGUACCUUCCAGGGGUCAAGGUCUCCCGCUUCUCCAAAAUUUGACUUCAGCACCUUGUGGAUGAAAGGAAGCAACAAGAAAAACAUUUUUGGUGUGCAGCUCUGCUCCGUAUCGUGAAUGCAGCGUGUUGUCACCUUGUAGGAAAGCUGGCCCCGGAAUGACGAGGAACAUGGAAGUGGACACAGACCCCAUUUGCAUUUUUUGUGGUUAACAGUCGACCGCAACCUUCGGCAGAAGCUGUUUGACCGUGACGAGAGAAACCGUCUUCGUAUCAAAUGUCUUCUGAAGACUCCACGGUGGUACAGACUUCGCCAGGAGACCUGAACACAAGAGAUUAACGGGGAACCAGUCAAGCUGCUGUUUAAUAAAUGUAUUAGCAAGGCAACAAAGCUGAAGGCAGCGUUGAGGACCUUCCGCACGUUCAUGUAGAACUUGUCUCUUCGCCCAGCAGGUGGAGGAGCUUGCUGGCCGAGUCCCCGAUGGCACUUGGACUGGAAGCUGACCUGCAUGUGGAGUCAAAGGAAAAAGCAGAUGAGGGCACUUCAAACUUCAAUUUGCUGAUCUUGUUUUGUAGCUUACGUCACCUCUCAACAUGUUGGACAGAAAGUUGACCAUCACUCCAGGUUUCCACCACCUACAACAACAAGAAACCAAGGAUCUUUCAGCACCACCUGGUGGACGUGCACAUGAAGAACAUGCAAGUGUCCAGGACCAAGAAGCUCCCAAUGACUUCAAACAAGAGGCUGUCGUGACUGCAGCCAAAACACAUCAAGAAAGGACAGCGCUGGAAAGUCAUCUCAGGUAGACUGGAACAAGUACUAGAACAAGAACAGUCUUCAUUUCAAACGACUCAGGCCUUCUGAGUGGACUGGUGGCACGAGACCUGAAACCAAGAGAUGAACGAGGGACCAGUCAAGCUGCUGUUUACAGGUGGAGGAUCUUGGUGGCCGAGUCCCCCGAUGGCACUUGGACUGGAACCCGACCUGCAUGUGGAGUCAAAGAAAAAGCAAGUCCCAAGCUUAGAGUUACUGCAACAAGAACCAUCCUCGUAUCAAACGACUGAAGCCUUCAGAGUGGACUGGUGGUCAGAGACUUCUCCGGGAGACCUGAACACAACGAGAUGAACGAGGGACCGGCCAAGCUCCUAUUUACAGGUGGAGGAUCUUGGUGGCCGAGUCCCCCGAUGGCACUUGGACUGGAACCCGACCUGCAUGUGGAGUCAAAGAAAAAGCAAGUCCCAAGCUUAGAGUUACUGCAACAAGAACCAUCCUCGUAUCAAACGACUGAAGCCUUCAGAGUGGACUGGUGGUCAGAGACUUCUCCGGGAGACCUGAACACAACGAGAUGAACGAGGGACCGGCCAAGCUCCUAUUUACAGGUGGAGGAUCUUGGUGGCCGAGUCCCCCGAUGGCACUUGGACUGGAACCCGACCUGCAUGUGGAGUCAAAGAAAAAGCAAGUCCCAAGCUUAGAGUUACUGCAACAAGAACCAUCCUCGUAUCAAACGACUGAAGCCUUCAGAGUGGACUGGUGGUCAGAGACUUCUCCGGGAGACCUGAACACAACGAGAUGAACGAGGGACCGGCCAAGCUCCUAUUUACAGGUGGAGGAUCUUGGUGGCCGAGUCCCCCGAUGGCACUUGGACUGGAACCCGACCUGCAUGUGGAGUCAAAGAAAAAGCAAGUCCCAAGCUUAGAGUUCUACUUCACCUUUAGCGUGACCACUACUACUGCAACAAGAACCAUCCUCGUAUCAAACGACUGAAGCCUUCAGAGUGGACUGGUGGUCAGAGACUUCUCCGGGAAACCUGAACACAACGAGAGACCGGCCAAGCUCCUAUUUACAGGUGGAGGAGCUUGCUGGCCGAGUCCCCGAUGGCACUUGGACUGGAAGCUGACCUGCAUGUGGAGUCAAAGAAAAAGCAGAAAGUUGACCAUGAUGCCAUGUUUCCACCACCUACAACAACAAGAAACCAAGUAUUUGGAUUCAUCAAGUCCGUCUUUGCAAAAAGGUUCCAACCUUGAUUGAAAUUUACUUCACAAGAUCAGGUUCUCCAGGGAUCCUUCAGCGCCACCUGGUGGACGUGCGCAGGAAGAACAUGCAAGUGUCCAGGACCAAGAAGCUCCCAAUGACUUCAAACAAGAGGCUGUCGUGACUGCAGCCAAAACUCAUCAAGAAAGGACAGCGCUGGAAAGUCAUCUCAGGUAGACUGGAACCUUCUGCUUGAACAAGAACAGUCUUCGAUUCAAACGACUCAGGCCUUCUGAGUGGACUGGUGGCGCAAGACUUCUCCAGGAGAUCUGAAACCAAGAGAUGAACGAGGGACCAGUCAAGCGCCUAUUUAGAUCUUGGGGGCCGAGUCCCCGACGGCACUUGGACUGGAAGCAGACCUGCAUGUGGAGUCAAAAAGAAAGCAGAAAGUUGACCAUGAUGCCAUGUUUCCACCACCUACAACAACAAGAAACCAAGUAUUUGGAUUCAUCAAGUCCGUCUUUGCAAAAGGUUCCAACCUUGAUUGAAAUUUACUUCACAAGAUCAGGUUCUCCAGGGAUCCUUCAGCGCCACCUGGUGGACGUGCGCAGGAAGAACAUGCAAGUGUCCAGGACCAAGAAGCUCCCAAUGACUUCAAACAAGAGGCUGUCGUGACUGCAGCCAAAACGCAUCAAGAAAGGACAGCGCUGGAAAGUCAUCUCAGGUAGACUGGAACCUUCUGCUUGAACAAGAACAGUCUUCGAUUCAAACGACUCAGGCCUUCUGAGUGGACUGGUGGCGCAAGACUUCUCCAGGAGAUCUGAAACCAAGAGAUGAACGAGGGACCAGUCAAGCGCCUAUUUAGAUCUUGGGGGCCGAGUCCCCAACGGCACUUGGACUGGAAGCCGACCUGCAUGUGGAGUCAAAAAGAAAAAGCAGGUCCAAGCUUGGAAAUCUACUUCACACUUGAGCUUUAACACCACGACUGCAACAAGAACCGUCUUCAUAUCAAACGACUGAAGCCUUCAGAGUGGACUGGUGGCGCAGAGACUUCUCCGGGAGCCCUGAACACAACGAGAUGAACGAGGGACCAGCCAAGCUCCUAUUUAGAUCUUGGGGGCCGAGUCCCCGAUGGCACUUGGACUAGAAGCCGACCUGCAUGUGGAGUCGAAAAGAAAAAGCAGGUCCCAAGCUUAGAGAUCGACUUCACCAGUUGAUCCAUGAUCAGGUUCUCCAGGAAUUCUUCGGCACCACCUGGUGGACGUGAGCAGCAAGAACAUGCUACUGUCCAGGAGCGAGAAGGUAAAGAACUUGAAGGAUCUGGCUGCAGCGCAGCUCAGAGUGCAACUUUGGGGGAACUGCAGAAGAGAACAAAUUGAAAACUUCUGUCAGCCAGUUUGUUUUUAUAUCAAUAUCUUGGAUAACAAAACCCAAAGGUUACUGCUGGCAAGUCAUCUCGGGUGUCCUUACCCUCCUUCAGUCCAUCAGAUUCUUCCUGGGUUGAUACAAAAGCACCACAACAUUAAACGUUAACCCCAACAUUUGGUGUUGCCAUCGAGUGCGUGUUCCCACCUGAACUGUGAUGACAUCGCUGGAGGCUGCCUGGUCAGCUCGUGCUGAAAGAAAUGAGUCACUUUUGUUUUUGUACAUGUAUGAAAGUUUGUCUCACCAGUGAGGAGAGCAGGGAGCAGCCGGACGCCUCGUCAGCGACGGCCUGAAAGACACGACAACACUGUUAGCGUUCGACGUUUCCCAAUUCAGCCCCACGAGCCAGUUUGACUUCGCAACGUGACAAUGGAGCGAGGGGUUUAUCAGUAGACCCACAAAAGUCUCAAGAGGCCUGCCCCAAAAGGCAGCCAUUUAGUUGAAGAUUUGAACCUGUAAUCAGAAAUGAGAAUUAAUCCAAAAGACAAUUACUUGAUGUAUUCUGUUUAAUAAAGGAUAUGCGGUGUAGAGAAA
Long non-coding RNA from Phycodurus eques (leafy seadragon), 4409 nucleotides. RefSeq lists it as uncharacterized. Lineage: Eukaryota; Metazoa; Chordata; Actinopteri; Syngnathiformes; Syngnathidae. The transcript is spliced from 22 exons. The record is from RefSeq and is a predicted model, not a curated record.